AGAAUCAACGCUGGCGGCGUGCCUAACACAUGCAAGUCGCACGAGAAAGGGUAGCAAUACCUGAGUAAAGUGGCGCACGGGUGAGUAACACGUGAAUUAUCUACCUCCGAGUGGGGAAUAACUGAGAGAAAUCUUAGCUAAUACCGCAUAACACUUACGAGUCAAAGCAGCAAUGCGCUUGGAGAGGAGUUCGCGGCAGAUUAGUUAGUUGGCGGGGUAAUGGCCCACCAAGACGAUGAUCGGUA
This 245-nucleotide ribosomal RNA is filed under the name uncultured bacterium. Its description in RNAcentral is "partial small subunit ribosomal RNA". It matches the Rfam family "Bacterial small subunit ribosomal RNA", at positions 26 to 285 of the family's 1533-position model. The record is from RNAcentral.